This 468-nucleotide ribosomal RNA is filed under the name uncultured bacterium. RNAcentral describes it as "partial 16S ribosomal RNA". It matches the Rfam family "Bacterial small subunit ribosomal RNA", at positions 28 to 507 of the family's 1533-position model. The record is from RNAcentral.
GACGAACGCUGGCGGCGUGCUUAACACAUGCAAGUCGAACGGAAAGGCCCUGCUUGUGUGGUGUGCGCGAGUGGCGAAGGGGUGUGUAACACGGGAGUAACCUGCCCUACACUGUGGGAUAACUUGAGGAAACUGGGGCUAAUCCCGGAUGGGAGAUCCUGCUUGUUGGUGGGGGUAGGAAAGUUUCGGGGGGUGGGGGUGGACUGGCGGCUCGUCUGCUUGUUGGUGGGUUAGCGGCUUACCAAGGCUUUGACGGGUGGCCGGCCUGAGAGGGUGACCGGCCACAUUGGGCCGGGGUAACGCCCCAGACUCCUACGGGAGGCAGAAGUGGGGAAUAUGCCACAUGGGGCGGAAGCUGGAGGCAGCAACGCGCCGGGCGGGAUGACGGCCUUCGGUUGUUAACCCGCUUUGGCCUGUGACGAACCGUUAGUGACGGUAAUGAGUUAAGAAGCACCGGCUAACUACGUG